Molecule: ribosomal RNA, 238 nt
Filed under: uncultured bacterium
Lineage: Bacteria
Description: partial 16S ribosomal RNA
Rfam family: Bacterial small subunit ribosomal RNA
Source: RNAcentral
UUACCCUACGGGGGGCAGCAGUGGGGAAUAUUGCACAAUGGGCGCAAGCCUGAUGCAUCCAUGCCGCGUGUAUGAAGAAGGCCUUCGGGUUGUAAAGUACUUUCAGCGGGGAGGAAGGGAGUAAAGUUAAUACCUUUACUCAUUGACGUUACCCGCAGAAGAAGCACCGGCUAACUCCGUGCCAGCAGCCGCGGUAAUACGAAGGGGGCAAGCGUUGUUCGGAAUUACUGGGCGUAAA